RNAcentral lists this ribosomal RNA (497 nucleotides) under uncultured bacterium. Its description in RNAcentral is "partial 16S ribosomal RNA". It matches the Rfam family "Bacterial small subunit ribosomal RNA", at positions 28 to 507 of the family's 1533-position model. The record is from RNAcentral.
GAUGAACGCUGGCGGCGUGCCUAAUACAUGCAAGUCGAGCGAACGGACGAGAAGCUUGCUUCUCUGCUGUUAGCGGCGGACGGGUGAGUAACACGUGGAUAACCUACCUAUAAGACUGGGAUAACUUCGGGAAACCGUAGCUAAUACCGGAUAAUAUUUUGAACCGCAUGGUUCAAAAGUGAAAGACGGUCUUGCUGUCACUUAUAGAUGGAUCCGCGCUGCAUUAGCUAGUUGGUAAGGUAACGGCUUACCAAGGCAACGAUGCAUAGCCGACCUGAGAGGGUGAUCGGCCACACUGGAACUGAGACACGGUCCAGACUCCUACGGGAGGCAGCAGUAGGGAAUCUUCCGCAAUGGGCGAAAGCCUGACGGAGCAACGCCGCGUGAGUGAUGAAGGUCUUCGGAUCGUAAAACUCUGUUAUUAGGGAAGAACAUAUGUGGAAGUAACUGUGCACAUCUUGACGGUACCUAAUCAGAAAGCCACGGCUAACUACGUG